GAUGGCAAUUUUAUCCACGGAUCCGGGUAUCCACGGAUAUUCGACCCGCCGGGCACGGGUAUGGAGGGUUGAUUGUGUCCAUGGAUUUCAUGGGGCGGAUAUCCGAUAAUUCAUGGAGCGGGCACGGACAUAGCUUUUGCUCCGUGGAUAUUCGAUGGAUAUCCAACUGACAUGUAGGACCUGUCACUUCAGUAGCAUCGGAGUGUGUCUUUAGUACUAGCGGGAGAUUAAUUAGUGCACAUCGUAGUCGUCUUGCAGAAAAAAUAGCAGAAGCUCUUAUGUGUAUGCAAUCAUGGUCUCAAGCGGUCAUGUUAGGUGAGAUUCAUGGUGAUCUCCUUGCUGUCCAGAAUGU
Lolium perenne is the source of this 352-nucleotide long non-coding RNA. RefSeq lists it as uncharacterized. Lineage: Eukaryota; Viridiplantae; Streptophyta; Magnoliopsida; Poales; Poaceae. The record is from RefSeq and is a predicted model, not a curated record.